This 439-nucleotide ribosomal RNA is filed under the name uncultured bacterium. RNAcentral describes it as "partial 16S ribosomal RNA". It matches the Rfam family "Bacterial small subunit ribosomal RNA", at positions 339 to 795 of the family's 1533-position model. The record is from RNAcentral.
CUACGGGUCGCACCAGUGGGGGAUAUUGCACAAUGGGCGAAAGCCUGAUGCAGCAACGCCGCGUGAAAGAUGACGGAUUUCGGUCUGUAAACUUCUAUCAGCAGGGAAGAAAAUGACGGUACCUGACUAAGAAGCCCCGGCUAACUACGUGCCAGCAGCCGCGGUAAUACGUAGGGGGCAAGCGUUAUCCGGAAUUACUGGGUGUAAAGGGUACGUAGGCGGCUGAUCAAGUCAGAUGUGAAAGCCCGGAGCUCAACUCCGGGAUUGCAUUUGAAACUGGUCGGCUAGAGUGCAGGAGAGGAAAGUGGAAUUCCUAGUGUAGCGGUGAAAUGCGUAGAUAUUAGGAAGAACACCAGUGGCGAAGGCGGCUUUCUGGACUGUAACUGACGCUGAGGUACGAAAGCGUGGGGAGCGAACAGGAUUAGAUACCCGAGUAGUC